UACGUAGGCAGCGAGCGUUGUUCGGAAUUACUGGGCGUAAAGAGUGUGUAGGCGGUGCUCCAAGUCUGUUGUGAAAUCUCCCGGCUUAACUGGGAGGGUGCAGCGGAAACUAGAGUGCUAGAGGGUGGGAGAGGUAAGCGGAAUUCCUGGUGUAGCGGUGAAAUGCGUAGAGAUCGGAAAGAACACCAACGGCGAAAGCACUCUGCUGGGCCGACACUGACACUGAGAGACGAAAGCUAGGGGAGCGAAUGGG
Molecule: ribosomal RNA, 253 nt
Filed under: uncultured bacterium
Lineage: Bacteria
Description: partial 16S ribosomal RNA
Rfam family: Bacterial small subunit ribosomal RNA
Source: RNAcentral